UGAAAUGUUUUUUCGCCGCCACAAGUUC
RNAcentral lists this non-coding RNA (28 nucleotides) under Bombyx mori (domestic silkworm). The record is from RNAcentral. Lineage: Eukaryota; Metazoa; Arthropoda; Insecta; Lepidoptera; Bombycidae.